GUCUUUGUAGCACAAUCGGCCAGUGUGUCCAGCUGCAAACUGAUAAGUUGGUGGUUCAAGCCCACCCAGAGAUG
Megalops atlanticus (tarpon) is the source of this 74-nucleotide non-coding RNA. The record is from the annotation of a GenBank genome assembly. NCBI's taxonomy places the organism in Eukaryota, Metazoa, Chordata, Actinopteri, Elopiformes, Megalopidae.